UACAGAGGUGCCAAGCGUUAUGCGGAAUCACUGGGCUUAAAGCGCGCGUAGGCGGAUGGUUAAGUGUCUUGUGAAAUCCCACGGCUCAACCGUGGAACCGCUGGGCAUACUGGACAUCUCGAGGCACUCAGGGGCGAGCGGAACAAGUGGUGGAGCGGUGAAAUGCGUAGAUAUCACUUGGAACGCCAAUGGUGAAGACAGCUCGCUGGGGGUGUCCUGACGCUGAGGCGCGAAAGCCAGGGGAGCGAACGGG
RNAcentral lists this ribosomal RNA (253 nucleotides) under uncultured bacterium. RNAcentral describes it as "partial 16S ribosomal RNA". It matches the Rfam family "Bacterial small subunit ribosomal RNA", at positions 524 to 776 of the family's 1533-position model. The record is from RNAcentral.